AGGAAGAAUAAGUUUGUUAAAAGGCAGAACAGAGAGGGAAGAUAAGAGACAUACUGUGCUGGGUUGUUUUUUGUUAGCUCAAUACAAGAGGGAACCUCAACUGAGAAAAUGCCUUCAUCAGAUUGGCCUGUAGGUACUUCUGCUGUGAAAGGAUUCGGGAGAUUUUGCAUUCUGCCACGUUCUGCUGUGAAAACACAUUGUCAAGGCAGCACUGGCUUAAAAACAAUCCAGCAAUAAAAUCGUGCCAGGUUUUGAAGGUGGUGGCUCCUCUUUAGGCCACAUGACACCAUGACAGGAUCUGAAAAGUGACUGAGUGUUUUAGGAGUUAAUCCAGCACAGAUUCUGAAGCAGGAGCCAUCCCAUCACUAAUAGCUACUUGGCAGAUGAUCCUUCCUUCUGGCUCUUCAAAAUUGGAUGUAGUAAUUGCUCUGGAAUUUAAAACUCAUCUGGGGAAUUCCUUGUUUUACAUUUAGGGCACAAACUGCCAAUGGCUCAGGCAUGCCGUAUGUGUGAGUGUGUGCCCAUGUAUGCGCCCAGCUUGGUGGCAGUGGCCUGAGAAUCACGGUAUGUAUAAACAUAGCAUCGCCUCACUG
This is a long non-coding RNA of Mastomys coucha (southern multimammate mouse), 593 nucleotides long. RefSeq lists it as uncharacterized. The transcript is spliced from 3 exons. The record is from RefSeq and is a predicted model, not a curated record. NCBI's taxonomy places the organism in Eukaryota, Metazoa, Chordata, Mammalia, Rodentia, Muridae.